AUUGAACGCUGGCGGCAGGCCUAACACAUGCCAGUCGAACGGUAACAGGAAACAGCUUGCUGUUUCGCUGACGAGUGGCGGACGGGUGAGUAAUGUCUGGGAAACUGCCUGAUGGAGGGGGAUAACUACUGGAAACGGUAGCUAAUACCGCAUAACGUCGCAAGACCAAAGAGGGGGACCCUCGGGCCUCUUGCCAUCGGAUGUGCCCAGAUGGGAUUAGCUUGUUGGUGGGGUAACGGCUCACCAAGGGGACGAUCCCUAGCUGGUCUGAGGGGAUGACCAGCCACACUGGAACUGAGACACGGUCCAGACUCCUACGGGAGGCAGCAGUGGGGAAUAUUGCACAAUGGGCGCAAGCCUGAUGCAGCCAUGCCGCGUGUAUGAAGAAGGCCUUCGGGUUGUAAAGUACUUUCAGCGGGGAGGAAGGGAGUAAAGUUAAUACCUUUGCUCAUUGACGUUACCCGCAGAAGAAGCACCGGCUAACUCCGUG
RNAcentral lists this ribosomal RNA (490 nucleotides) under uncultured bacterium. RNAcentral's name for it is "partial 16S ribosomal RNA". It matches the Rfam family "Bacterial small subunit ribosomal RNA", at positions 30 to 507 of the family's 1533-position model. The record is from RNAcentral.